This 497-nucleotide ribosomal RNA is filed under the name uncultured bacterium. Its description in RNAcentral is "partial 16S ribosomal RNA". It matches the Rfam family "Bacterial small subunit ribosomal RNA", at positions 28 to 507 of the family's 1533-position model. The record is from RNAcentral.
GACGAACGCUGGCGGCGUGCCUAAUACAUGCAAGUUGAGCGCUGAAGGUUGGUACUUGUACCAACUGGAUGAGCAGCGAACGGGUGAGUAACGCGUGGGGAAUCUGCCUUUGAGCGGGGGACAACAUUUGGAAACGAAUGCUAAUACCGCAUAAAAACUUUAAACACAAGUUUUAAGUUUGAAAGAUGCAAUUGCAUCACUCAAAGAUGAUCCCGCGUUGUAUUAGCUAGUUGGUGAGGUAAAGGCUCACCAAGGCGAUGAUACAUAGCCGACCUGAGAGGGUGAUCGGCCACAUUGGGACUGAGACACGGCCCAAACUCCUACGGGAAGCAGCAGUAGGGAAUCUUCGGCAAUGGACGAAAGUCUUACCGAGCAACGCCGCGUGAGUGAAGAAGGUUUUCGGAUCGGAAAACUCUGUUGGUAGGGAAGAACGUUGGUGAGAGUGGAAAGCUCAGCAAGUGACGGUAACUACCCAGAAAGGGACGGCUAACUACGUG